ACUCCUGUUCUCUAUCAUCAGAGUGCUUUGUUUUGAGAGAAGAUAUCGAUGGUUGCCGGAGACGGAGAAAAGAGAGUGGCGGGUUCAGUCUCCGAGCUCUACGCGACGGUGGUAAAGCACAGAACGCUCUCAGCGGCAAGUUGCAGACAUAUCUGAAGUGGAGAUUCCCAGCUCGUAUUGCAGACAGAUCUGUAUUCGACUUACCUCACUCACAGAGAGUAUUGAUUGGAGGACCUAGAGGCUAGAGUAAAAGACGAACUAAAUUGGAAUAAUGAGCAGUAGCGGCAACAUCUCGAGGAGCAUGUUGGUGGCAGCGGUCAUAAGAGGUGCGACAAAGGCGAGGAUAAGGAUAUUCGGUCACGUUUUGAAUCCAACAAUCCAAAGAUCACCUCCCAAGGUUCUCCAUAAGAAGCUCAUUGGCUAGAAGUUGCUUAGUGGUUCCCUCAUGAGAUCAAGAAGGAAGACCCCCUUUUAAUUUCCCAUCAAGAACAAGAGUAUCCAAAGGUGAAGCAAAAGGCGUAUUUUGGUUUCUCUGAACCUCUCUCUCUUUUCAAUCCAUAUUCCUUCUCUUAUUUGAAUCUUCAAAGUGAAGUUAAGAUGCAUAUUCUGGUUUCUACUAAUCCUCUCUCGAUCCGCUCUCUAUUUCCUUUGUAAGGUCGGGUUUUGCUGACAUGGUUUGUUGAUUAUUCUGCUUCUUUUUUUUUUUAAUGGUGUGGAUUCUCUCUUUUGUUUUGGUACUGUAAUUGAUAGACAUGAAUUUAACACAUUUGACUGGUAGCAAUAUUCAGAGAUGAAGCCGCCAGAGCAGCUAUGAAUGAACAGAGAUGGAGAUUGCAGGUGGAAGAAAGAGAGAAUAGUUUAGGGUAUAGCUUCAGACGUUGGAUUUUUUGUUCCGCCACGUGUCAAGAGAGAGGGCCUGUGAGGGAGAAAAGGUUUGGGGAAACUAGGAGAGUGAGUGUGAGCAGAGGCAAAGAGACGAAGGUAGGGAGAGAGAACAUUGUGAAUGGGAGAGAAGGGAGUCGCGGGAGAUAUAGAGUGAGCGUAUGGUAUCUCCCUUCAAUCAUCCUCCAUUAUCUUUCUCUCUCCCUUUCGCUUCCCAUCUUGUCAAAAUCUAACACCUUCUUCUGAACUCGACAGUUUUCUUCCCAAUCACAAACCCCUGUUAUCCAAAUUCAGAGAACUACAACAGGACUGGAUGCUUCUAGUACUAUUCUUGUGUUACAAUGGCUACAUUGUUACAGGUUAUUAUACCAUGGGAGGUAUGGAUUCUUGAAAAUAGGAGGUGCUUAACCCUAACAGGUACUUCUAGUCCAAUUUUUUAUGUCUGGCAGGGUUUGCACUGCUCUAUAUUUUUAAUAGGACCAAAUUAUAUGAUGUUGGAGGUGCAAUUCGUCUUUGUGAAUUUGGACUAUGAUAACUGAAACUAACUCCUCUAUAUGUAAAUUAUAGCGUUCUGCACAUGCUUUUCAUGUUACAGGUGUGGAAUCCUCUCGGAAUAGUUGGUGUAAUUACAUCUUUCAACUUUCCAUAUGCUGUUCUUGGUGAGCUUUUUUGACUUUUCCAAUUGACGGGUAGAAAUUUGAAAGUUUCCUUUAUUAUACAGUUUUUGUCAGAGUGGAUUAUGGGAGAUUUGAUGAAUGACCAUUGUUUGAGAACUUUCAAGAAGUGGGAUUACCAUAUCUUAACUUGAUGAGAAAGCUUUUGUUAUUGCAAUGGUCCCUUUAAACUGAGAGAAAAUUGUUUUUAUCUGUCCUAUUGUAUUAGAAGCAUAUGAUAUAUAGCUAAGGUAAAUCAAGAAAGUCCCCAUAUUAGUUAGCUAGUGAUCCUGUUAUUUUUCUUACCAAUAUAUAUAUAAAUUAAAUUAAUGUAUUAAACAUGAGAAUCAAUGUUGGAUAGAUCUGUACUAAUUCAAAUGGCAAAUCAUUUUGGAUACAUUUGUACUCAAGUUAUGCUAAUAACUUAUUACUUGUUGGUUUAGCAAUCUAGAUGCCAGAUUCUUUCUUCAUUCUAUAAGCUAAGAUCUUUUAUAAAUGAAACUGAUGUCUUAGUUAUUUGCCCUUCUUGAAAAAAAAUUUUAGAUGGCAUUCACAUUCAGUAGUGAAUUCCACUUGAGAGCACAACCCUUAACUUUCUUUGUAUAUUUUAAUAGAUAGUAAAUGCCAUUUUGUUGGUAUUUUUUGAAAGAAUUACAGUUGAUCUCUUUAUUUACACUUUUCCAUCUGAUAAUGCUGAUGCAGGGGGCUAGGAAGCUUGGCUAGGCCAUUGGGAUUGGAUUGUGAACAUUGGUUCAACACAACAGAAGAUGGAAAGAUCCCUGGAGAUGAUGCAGUAGACACUUGAUCAAUUUUUUUUUUUUUUCAAAAUGUAAAUUUAUAUUUAGUUUAUUAGCUUAUUUUGAUAUGAAAUGGAAACUCUAAGUGUAUACUGACUUCAAGUUGAUAAUGUUUACUUCUUAAACACACACUAGCUAAUCGCUAUUUGUCUACAUGAUCGUAUUACUCUGUCUAGGUUUGUAUUGGGUAGUUGGUUUCCUUGCUUUGUGAAAGAUGACACCAAAAUUCUUUCAAUGUCUUGGAAAAGUUAGAAGAUUGUGUGCUCAUUUUUUAAUAGACAUUUGAAAUUCAAAAUUAAAAUGAAAAAAUGAAAACAUUGAU
Molecule: long non-coding RNA, 2654 nt
Organism: Macadamia integrifolia
Lineage: Eukaryota; Viridiplantae; Streptophyta; Magnoliopsida; Proteales; Proteaceae
Exons: 3
Source: RefSeq, a predicted model, not a curated record